RNAcentral lists this ribosomal RNA (397 nucleotides) under uncultured bacterium. RNAcentral describes it as "partial 16S ribosomal RNA". It matches the Rfam family "Bacterial small subunit ribosomal RNA", at positions 523 to 918 of the family's 1533-position model. The record is from RNAcentral.
AUACGUAGGGGGCGAGCGUUGUCCGGAAUGAUUGGGCGUAAAGGGCGCGUAGGCGGCCCGGUAAGUCUGGAGUGAAAGUCCUGUUUUUAAGAUGGGAAUUGCUUUGGAUACUGUCGGGCUUGAGUGCCGGAGAGGGAAGUGGAAUUCCCAGUGUAGCGGUGAAAUGCGUAGAGAUUGGGAGGAACACCAGUGGCGAAGGCGACUUACUGGACUGUAACUGACGCUGAGGCGCGAAAGUGUGGGGAGCAAACAGGAUUAGAUACCCUGGUAGUCCACACUGUAAACGAUGAAUGCUAGGUGUAGGGGGUAUCGACCCCUUCUGUGCCGCAGUCAACACAAUAAGCAUUCCGCCUGGGGAGUACGGCCGCAAGGUUGAAACUCAAAUGAAUUGACGGGG